UUCAUGGAUGCCAAUGAAGUGAAAAAGGAGGAAGUUUUAUUUUGUAAUCUAAUACUGUCAGUGCAGCUCUUCUGCUUAUCUCCUCUUCUUCUGGGCAUCGUUUUAGUUUUCUAGAAGAUGACAUUGAGAUGAAGGAAGUUAGCGAGAUUAAAACAGGAAUGUCAGAUGAUCUAUCAAAGAAACAUCCCAUAAUAGUAGAACUGAGUUGGUGAACUGUUGGACAAAGGUUCUGCAGUUGAAACAUCUGGAGCCGAUGCAGUUUGAAACAGUAGAAAACAACAGUAGAAAGUUGAGUUUUCAUGAUCUGUUUGUUCCUCUGUUUUCCUCAGCUCUGUACCAGAUCACAUCUUGAUGUUUAUGUUUUCAUUGCAGGAAAUGAUCUCAGUCUCAUUUGAUCUGUUCAAGAAACAAAGAAAUUUCAUUUCCUUCAAAGAUCCAAGAUUGGUGAAAAGCAGACACUUCUAAACGCUGAGGACCAUGAACAGUCUGGAAAGAACCUGUGGACGGUUAGCUUGAAGCUUGUGUGACUGACAGAACUAAAACCAGAACCCAACCAGAACCAAUCCAAUCUUCAGAACAUCCAAGCUGUCUGUAGGUGAUGCCUCCUCCUGCCCUUGAAGGAGCAGCUGAGGUUCUGCUCAUGUGAGCAUGUGCAGAGUAAAGGCUCCCACACAGACUGCUGGGGGGCGGAGCUACUGCUCAGGUGUCCUGUGGGCGCGUCAGCAGGUGAAGGACUUCAGCCAUAGAAAGGUGCAGCAGCUGACCUCUGAGCAGCUCUGUUCAGAUCUAACAGAGGUGUGUGGGACCAGCUGACGUCCUGCUGUUGCCAUGGAAACAGACUUUGGACUAAGAAGUGUCCGAACCUGCAAAUGCAGCUGGUUUCUUCCUGCAGGUUUGUCUGUCAAGAGUCCAGAACCAGAUUAGAAAAGUUUCCCUCCAAAAAUCCUGAAGGUUUUUUUCACAAACCCUGAUAGAAACUCUAUAACGUCUGACUUUCAAAGAUCCUUCAGGAAUCCUGUUUGACGAGUUUGGAGUCAAAAGAAAAUAAGAAGAAAUAGUUUGAGUAGAAAUUCUUGUAAUACAAAAAUGUUUUAACAUAAACUGACUUAAAAAUGAUUAAAACCAUGGAAAUCCAAGUAAAAAAAUCUAGUGAUAAACGACAGACAUCUUUGAAAUUAAAAGUAAUUUUCUUUCUGACCCAAUUACCUUAAACUUACAUCUGUCAUGUGAUAUUUGGAGAAACGGGAACAGAAAACAUUUAAAGUGAUUGAUGUUUUACUGAGGAGAGCAAUCAAAUCAUAAAUCCGAUCAUUGAUUACACAUCAACCAAUCAUCUGUUGACUGAUUAACAGACUAAUCAACUUUAUGAUCUCCUUCAGGAUCAGACCACGUCAUUCAUGUCAAAGUCCACAGGAAUCUGCAGGAAUCCGCUCUGAAACUGGAGCCGGUUGGGCUUCAGGGACACAAAGCUGUUCAGAAACUCCAGAGGAAAAAGUAAAAGAAAGAACAGAUGCGUUUCUGUCAGAGCGGCGAGUUGAUGAACAACUGGAGUGAAAAGAACGUGGAGGUGGAGACCAUGAGCUCGGGGCUUUUGGGGUCUUCAAACAGUGACCUCUGCAGGCCGGAAUAGGAAGUGCAGCUUGAUGUCUGGAUGGAGGAAAUGUUUCAUCUUCAUCAGAUGAAAUGAGAGGCUCUCAUGUGUGAAGAACAUCUGAACAGCUUUCAUCACUUUCUCCUGAUUCUGAUUUGAUAUGGAUUGAAUUCUGCUACAGAAUGUUUGGAUUUCAACUCCUUUCACUGAUUUUCUUCAGGGCGGCUCUACUGGGUUCUAGACAAAAUGGGUCAAAGAUGUCGGCUGGAAGAAGGUGUGUGUGUGAGCUGAUCCAGUGGAUCCAGUUAAUCCAGC
Molecule: long non-coding RNA, 1906 nt
Organism: Oryzias melastigma (Indian medaka)
Lineage: Eukaryota; Metazoa; Chordata; Actinopteri; Beloniformes; Adrianichthyidae
Exons: 3
Source: RefSeq, a predicted model, not a curated record